GUACUCCUGCCUCCUUGUGUGCGUUAACAGGUAAAAUCUUUCAAUUUCUCAACAGAUGAUGGUGACAUUAUUGUUCUUUUAUCAAAUCAUGGCAUUAUAAGCGAUACAGGCACGUAUGGAUUUGAAUCUGAGCCGGUCAGUGACAAAUGUAACGAAUGGGACUGGGAGGACAAUAGACAUGACCAAUGUAAAAAGAAAUGUUGUAAGGAUACUACAAAGGAUGUGACUCAAAAAUGUACAGGUACACAAUGUCAAUUUGCUGUGAGUAAUCCAGUUUUCACUGACCACCAAGACAGAACUCCUAGAUAUCUGGAUGUGUCUUAUUCCUGUGGACCAGAUCCAACCCAGAAGCCAUUUGACUGUGGAGAAAAUGGCUGUAGAGUAUUUUCAAUCUGUCAAUUUGAAAAGCAAGAGUUCGGCUGUAGAUCUGGAAGAAUGACGGUUAAAUAUGCUUCCUACGGAAGGAGAAGUUCGGAGAUUUGCCCUCAUUCUAAUUCAAGUCUCACAUCUUCUCUGUGCUUCUCAGACCAGACCAGCAUCGUGAAACUUUUGUGUGAUGACAAACCUACAUGCAAACUAUAUGUUUCAAGUUUAGUUUACGUGGAUCUGUGCCCUCACCUCUACAAAUAUUUGACUGUGAUAUACACAUGCAGGGACUCAAGAUGAAGAUGAGCGUCUUCAUCUGACAAAUUUACAUGAUGGAGACAAUGUGCAGUGUACCUUCACAGGAAUAAAGUUGAUUAAAGUUUGACAAAUGACAAUCAUUGAUGUCAAACUUAUCUUUCAAUGCAAUUGUACGGUUUGUACCAUUGUUAAAAGGUUAUUGUCUAAUACUUUUGUGUUCAUAACAAUGGUGUUUAAAAUGUUCAAAAUUUCUAAUUGGGCAAUAAAUCAUUAGAUUACUGAAUGCUAGUAAAACAAUAUGAAACCCUAUAGGCUAUUUGAUCUGCUGGAGCUGGUAAUAUAAUAUCAUGUUAAUUGAAAAUGUUUUUGGUUCACAUUUUUGGUAUUUCUAUCCUUUCUUUUGGUAUUUCCAUUGGUGUAUAUGUUCCGUCUGGGAUGAACAACUUUUUGUUGAAUAAACUACUUUCCAAUGCAAACUCUGUAUCUUUUGUUUGUUUAUCUAAACUGUUUUGCAUGUAGGACAACAUUUCUAAUUCAGCACUACACAAUCCUGAAUGACCAAAAUCCUUUCUGCUUGAUGUCAGAAGCCAUGUUGCAGAUUUACCUUUUCAUACUGAUCCAUAAUGUGUAUAUAAAUUAAAAAAAAAAGACUUUACAUGUAUUUUUCCCUUACAAUUAUGCUUUCAAUUUUUGGGUCAUAAAGACCCCAAGGGCCAGUAGUGUAAACAGAAAACGAGGACCAUUUA
This is a non-coding RNA of Misgurnus anguillicaudatus (oriental weatherfish), 1370 nucleotides long. Lineage: Eukaryota; Metazoa; Chordata; Actinopteri; Cypriniformes; Cobitidae. The record is from RefSeq and is a predicted model, not a curated record.